Molecule: ribosomal RNA, 913 nt
Filed under: Clostridioides difficile
Lineage: Bacteria; Bacillati; Bacillota; Clostridia; Peptostreptococcales; Peptostreptococcaceae
Description: partial 23S ribosomal RNA
Rfam family: Bacterial large subunit ribosomal RNA
Source: RNAcentral
CCAAGCGACUGUUUACCAAAAACAUAGGUUUCUGCUAAGUCGCAAGACGAUGUAUAGGAGCUGACGCCUGCCCGGUGCUGGAAGGUUAAGGGGAUCUGUUAGAGCAAUCGAAGCAGUGAACUUAAGCCCCAGUAAACGGCGGCCGUAACUAUAACGGUCCUAAGGUAGCGAAAUUCCUUGUCGGGUAAGUUCCGACCCGCACGAAAGGCGUAACGAUUUGGGCACUGUCUCAACAACAGACUCGGUGAAAUUGUAAUUCCGGUGAAGAUGCCGGAUACCUGCGACAGGACGGAAAGACCCCAUGGAGCUUUACUGUAGCUUGACAUUGGGUCUUGGUACUACAUGUACAGGAUAGGUGGGAGGCUUUGAAACCAGGACGCCAGUUUUGGCGGAGCCAUCCUUGGGAUACCACCCUUGUAGUACUGGGACUCUAACCAUAGGCCAUGAAUCUGGUCUUGGGACACUGUCAGGUGGGCAGUUUGACUGGGGCGGUCGCCUCCCAAAAGGUAACGGAGGCGCUCAAAGGUUCUCUCAGUACGGUCGGAAAUCGUACGUAGAGUGUAAAGGCAAAAGAGAGCUUGAUUGCAAGACAUACAGGUCGAGCAAGGAUGAAAAUCGGACUUAGUGAUCCGGUGGUUCUGCGUGGAAGGGCCAUCGCUCAACGGAUAAAAGCUACCCUGGGGAUAACAGGCUUAUCUCCCCCAAGAGUCCACAUCGACGGGGAGGUUUGGCACCUCGAUGUCGGCUCAUCACAUCCUGGGGCUGUAGUAGGUCCCAAGGGUUGGGCUGUUCGCCCAUUAAAGUGGUACGCGAGCUGGGUUCAGAACGUCGUGAGACAGUUCGGUCCCUAUCCGUCGCAGGCGUAGGAAAUUUGAGAAGACCUGUCCUUAGUACGAGAGGACCGGGAUGGACG